CACUCUCUGCUGAUAUGACUGACCAUGACACAUGGCAGUUGAUCUCUUGUUUUUGCUUGAAUUCAGCAUCAGUCAACUUGGGACUUUGAGGGUGCUAUCUUUCUUUUGUUUUUUUUCUUUUGAUUUUGCUUUUGAUUUUGCUUUCUUUUGAUUUCUUUUGAUUUUGCACCCUCCUCUUUCUCUUUUUUUUUUCUUUUUUCUCUUUUUUUUUUUAUAAAUGCCCCAGUUGGCUGUUCUGCUGAUUCUCG
Molecule: long non-coding RNA, 248 nt
Filed under: Lathyrus oleraceus (garden pea)
Lineage: Eukaryota; Viridiplantae; Streptophyta; Magnoliopsida; Fabales; Fabaceae
Description: Pisum sativum (pea) long non-coding RNA (PSAT_LNC040833)
Source: RNAcentral